GCUGUUCAGUGGCGCAGCUAACGCAUUAAGCGUCCCGCCUGGGGAGUACGGCCGCAAGGCUGAAACUCAAAGGAAUUGACGGGGGCCCGCACAAGCGGUGGAGCAUGUGGUUUAAUUCGACGCAACGCGCAGAACCUUACCAAGGCUUGACAUCCCGUGCUACGCCCAGAAAUGGGCGGUCCCCGCAAGGGGCGCGGAGACAGGUGCUGCAUGGCUGUCGUCAGCUCGUGUCGUGAGAUGUUGGGUUAAGUCCCGCAACGAGCGCAACCCUCGCCUUUAGUUGCCAUCAUUCAGUUGGGCACUCUAGAGGGACCGCCGGCGACAAGCCGGAGGAAGGUGGGGAUGACGUCAAGUCCUCAUGGCCCUUACGCCUUGGGCUACACACGUGCUACAAUGGCGGUGACAGUGGGCAGCCAACUCGCGAGAGUGAGCUAAUCCCAAAAAGCCGCCCCAGUUCAGAUUGUACUCUGCAACUCGAGUACAUGAAGGUGGAAUCGCUAGUAAUCGCAGAACAGCAGGCUGCGGUGAAUACGUUCCCGGGCCUUGUACACACCGCCCGUCACACCAUGGGAGUUGGCUCUACCCGAAGACGGUGCGCUAACCCGCAAGGGAGGCAGCCGGCCACGGUCGGGUCAGCGACUGGGGUGAAGUCGUAACAAGGUAGCCG
Molecule: ribosomal RNA, 667 nt
Filed under: uncultured bacterium
Lineage: Bacteria
Description: bacterial SSU rRNA
Rfam family: Bacterial small subunit ribosomal RNA
Source: RNAcentral